CCUACGGGCGGCAGCAGUGAGGAAUAUUGGUCAAUGGACGCAAGUCUGAACCAGCCAUGCCGCGUGCAGGAAGACGGCUCUAUGAGUUGUAAACUGCUUUUGUACGAGGGUAAACGCAGAUACGCGUAUCUGUCUGAAAGUAUCGUACGAAUAAGGAUCGGCUAACUCCGUGCCAGCAGCCGCGGUAAUACGGAGGAUUCAAGCGUUAUCCGUAUUUAUUGGGUUUAAAGGGUGCGUAGGCGGUCGGAUAAGUUAGAGGUGAAAUCCCGAGGCUCAACUUCGGAAUUGCCUGUGAUACUGUUCGGCUAGAGAGUAGUUGCGGUAGGCGGAAUGUAUGGUGUAGCGGUGAAAUGCUUAGAGAUCAUACAGAACACCGAUUGCGAAGGCAGCAUACCAGGCUACUUCUGACGUUGAGGCACGAAAGCGUGGGGAGCAAACAGGAUUAGAUACCCCAGUAGUC
RNAcentral lists this ribosomal RNA (460 nucleotides) under uncultured bacterium. Its description in RNAcentral is "partial 16S ribosomal RNA". It matches the Rfam family "Bacterial small subunit ribosomal RNA", at positions 338 to 795 of the family's 1533-position model. The record is from RNAcentral.